GCCCGCCUAGCCCAACGGCAGAGGCCCAGCGAUUCAAACCCGCGGUGAUCCCGGUUCGAGUCCGGGGGCGGGCAC
This 75-nucleotide transfer RNA is filed under the name Streptomyces melanogenes. Its description in RNAcentral is "tRNA-Leu". Lineage: Bacteria; Bacillati; Actinomycetota; Actinomycetes; Kitasatosporales; Streptomycetaceae. The record is from RNAcentral.